CGGCGGUCGGCUAGAGAAGGGUGAGCGCGGGAAAACAGCAACAACGGGGAGGGGGAAAAGGGAUAGAAACGGGAAAAAGGGGAGAUGUGACAGUCGGAGAUGAGAAAUAGGAAGCAAUGGGGGGGGGCGGAGAGAAAAAGAGAGUGGGAGCACGGGAGGGGCCAGAGAAAUGGGGAGGAGGAAGGAGGGAGGUGGGGGGAGAGGCGCGGUGAGCAGACUUAGGGACAAGGAAAGGAGAAUGCGGGGCGGACACCGGGUAAGGGGAAGAGUAAGAUAGCCCCCCGCCGACCCCCCCCCCCCCCCCCAGUAUGAGAUGCCCUAGGGGUUCACCCCGAAUGGGGCAGUAAAGCAAAGCCUGGAGGUGUGUUGAAAGACAGCUGUUGUCUGGGCCCCUCUAUCACCAAGUUAGCCACUCCUUUUGUAUUAGUUGGCACGCAAAUUAAUUUGAGUGCAGAGAGGAUGUCUGGCCCUUUAAGAGGUGACUGAUACAGGGAGUUAUCCUUAGCCCCUCUGUGUGGGCCUGUCAGUCUUCUCAAAGGACUGGGCUUACACAACCAGAUCAGCAGAUUUAUCCUCUGAGUUACUAUGAGAUCACCUUCACAUCCUCCAGUUUUGAGAAAGGCAUCUCUCUUCUUACCUCUGCCUUUACAGGAUACCUGGCACUUUGACUCCUGUGACGUGUUCUCUGACAUAAACUCCCUGAAGACAGUUUCUACUGAAUUAUUUGCCACCUUUCUGAUAAAACUUUCAUUUAAACUGUUUUCUCUAGUAGUACCUCCCUCCAUCCCACCUCCACCUAAGAAACCUAUCCUUGAUCUGUAGACUUAUAUAGAGUGGUAAAGCAGGAAUGGGGCUUUUGAGAUAAUCUAGCAGGGACCCCUCAUUUUUAGGUAAAAUGAAUAAAAACCCUUGAGACUCAAAAAGUGAGUGAAAGUGACAGUAUUGAGACCUUAGUAAGUACCAGGUACUGUGCAUAUCUUCUAUAUAUUCUUCAAAAACAUAGGGUGUAGGUACUUUCGUCCUCUUUAUAUAAAUAAAAAAACAGGCUAAGAGUGAUUAACCUGCUAAUGUGUGAUAGAGCUGGGAUUUCAUCCCAAGGAAUCUGACUUUAAAACUCAAUUAACUAAUUGAGUAAAAAGAAAUCCUAGAUAGUGCUAGGACUGUGAUUCCAAUUCAGGCUGAAUGCUUUUUUUUUUUUUCUUUAAUCACACUACAGUUUCCAUUUUUUAAGUCUAAAGCUCUUUAUAUGUUUUGCAAGUUCAGUUAUCUAUACUGUAUAUGAAUAGCACGUAAGUCUACUUCACUAUCUUGAGCUCAUUCCCUUAUUUUGGUUCUAUAAAAAAACACUCCCGUCUUAAGAGAAAUUUAUAUUUUGGGUUCCCUGUUAAGUUAGGGAAUGCUGACUUUACAGCUCUGACUGUGGCAGUAGAUUUUGCUAUGGCUUCUCUGGAAUUGGCAAUUAGGCAGGGGUUGGAAGAACUUGAGAAAUAAAGCUGGAAAUCAUUGGAAUGACAAUUGCUGGCACUUCAGGGCUUACUCUAUUGCCUUCCCCUAAACUCCAGGCCUCCAGGUUUUAGGAGUGGCUUAGGCAAGCUCUAAACCUAUAAAUGAUCAUCUUAGACUCUCUGUACUAACUUCUGCUUACUGAUACCAUGAAACUGGAGUUGGUUAUCUUCCUAUUGCCAUUUUUCCUGCAUGUGCAACCCUUGACCCUGUGAGCAGUGCCAUAAUUUCUGGCAUCUCAUAAAAUUAUGCAGUAAUCUCAAAUCCUUAGCACUUAGAAUUUGUCUUUUUCACACUAGUCAUUGCCUUUUUUAUAAUUUGUCACUUUUUUUCCCCAAAGAUUUUAUUUUCAAUCUCUAUACCCAGCAUGGAGCUCAGACCUACAACUUCGAGAUCAAGUGUCACAUGCGUUACUGACUGAGCCAGCCAUACAUCCCAAUGUAUCAUCUUUUCUGUUUAUAGUUAAUCUCUCCAAGAGCAACCCUCAGUCAUGAAGCAGUCCUCUAAUACCAUGUUUUAAUCCCUAGAAAUUGGCAUGAUAUAUGUAUUUUAUAUACUAAAUACAUAUGUAGUUGUUUUGAAUUAUAUAAUACCUG
RNAcentral lists this long non-coding RNA (2099 nucleotides) under Lynx pardinus (Iberian lynx). The record is from RNAcentral. Lineage: Eukaryota; Metazoa; Chordata; Mammalia; Carnivora; Felidae.